CCUACGGGAGGCUGCAGUGGGGAAUAUUGCACAAUGGGCGCAAGCCUGAUGCAGCCAUGCCGCGUGUGUGAAGAAGGCCUUCGGGUUGUAAAGCACUUUCAGCGGGGAGGAAGGCGGUGAGGUUGAUAACCUCAUCGAUUGACGUUACCCGCAGAAGAAGCACCGGCUAACUCCGUGCCAGCAGCCACGGUAAUACGGAGGGUGCAAGCGUUAAUCGGAAUUACUGGGCGUAAAGCGCACGCAGGCGGUCUGUCAAGUCGGAUGUGAAAUCCCCGGGCUCAACCUGGGAACUGCAUUCGAAACUGGCAGGCUAGAGUCUUGUAGAGGGGGGUAGAAUUCCAGGUGUAGCGGUGAAAUGCGUAGAGAUCUGGAGGAAUACCGGUGGCGAAGGCGGCCCCCUGGACAAAGACUGACGCUCAGGUGCGAAAGCGUGGGGAGCAAACAGGAUUAGAUACCCGAGUAGUC
RNAcentral lists this ribosomal RNA (465 nucleotides) under uncultured Klebsiella sp. RNAcentral describes it as "bacterial SSU rRNA". It matches the Rfam family "Bacterial small subunit ribosomal RNA", at positions 338 to 795 of the family's 1533-position model. Lineage: Bacteria; Pseudomonadati; Pseudomonadota; Gammaproteobacteria; Enterobacterales; Enterobacteriaceae. The record is from RNAcentral.